This 540-nucleotide ribosomal RNA is filed under the name uncultured bacterium. RNAcentral's name for it is "bacterial SSU rRNA". It matches the Rfam family "Bacterial small subunit ribosomal RNA", at positions 356 to 896 of the family's 1533-position model. The record is from RNAcentral.
GAGGAAUAUUGGUCAAUGGGCGAGAGCCUGAACCAGCCAAGUCGCGUGAAGGAUGACUGUCUUAUGGAUUGUAAACUUCUUUUAUACGGGAAUAACAAGAGUCACGUGUGACUCCCUGCAUGUACCGUAUGAGUAAGCAUCGGCUAACUCCGUGCCAGCAGCCGCGGUAAUACGGAGGAUGCGAGCGUUAUCCGGAUUUAUUGGGUUUAAAGGGUGCGUAGGCGGCCUGUUAAGUCAGCGGUGAAAUCUAGGAGCUUAACUCCUAAAUUGCCAUUGAUACUGGCGGGCUUGAGUGUAGAUGAGGUAGGCGGAAUGCGUGGUGUAGCGGUGGAAUGCAUAGAUAUCACGCAGAACUCCGAUUGCGAAGGCAGCUUACUAAGGUACAACUGACGCUGAAGCACGAAAGCGUGGGUAUCAAACAGGAUUAGAUACCCUGGUAGUCCACGCAGUAAACGAUGAUAACUGGGCGUAUGCGAUAUACAGUAUGCUCCUAAGCGAAAGCGUUAAGUUAUCCACCUGGGGAGUACGCCGGCAACGGUG